AGUGUUGUAAUUUUUUGUCCGUCGUUAUUUCUAGUUCUACCGGCUCUGUACGGCCGAUCCUGAUAUAAAGACCGGUAGAUACUUCGAUGAGCUCCUCAGCAGGACUGGCAAUGCAGCGAAACUUAACUAUGCUGCAUCUUUUGAGCUCACUGGUGCAGCGCUCAAGAAUGGUCUUUUUGCGUACGUAUUCGCGGAACCGUCAAUAGUGGAAACCGAUGAGGGAUUGGCAGAAUUUGAGUUAAACCUGCCCUCGGUCAUUGUAAAUGACAUGUAUGAGAGGAUGUGGCAGCCUCAUAGACUCUAUAAAAUCAAAUCACUGAUACAUAGUUGGAUGUCGCCGAAAGGCCUAUUUAAAAAUGGAAAAUUGGAAAAAUUUGCAAUUGACAUUCUAAAUGAUAGAGACAUCAAAAUUGGCGUCAUUCCUCUCGAGGUGAUGUCUGGGGGUCUUUUGGGAGUACAGGAAAAAUACAAAAAUAAAUUAGAUGUUA
Molecule: long non-coding RNA, 488 nt
Organism: Dendroctonus ponderosae (mountain pine beetle)
Lineage: Eukaryota; Metazoa; Arthropoda; Insecta; Coleoptera; Curculionidae
Exons: 3
Source: RefSeq, a predicted model, not a curated record